GACGAACGCUGGCGGCGCGCCUAACACAUGCAAGUCGAACGAGCGAGAGAGAGCUUGCUUUCUCGAGCGAGUGGCGAACGGGUGAGUAACGCGUGAGGAACCUGCCUCAAAGAGGGGGACAACAGUUGGUAACGACUGCUAAUACCGCAUAAGCCCACGGCUCGGCAUCGAGCAGGGGGAAAAGGAGCAAUCCGCUUUGAGAUGGCCUCGCGUCCGAUUAGUUAGUUGGUGGGGUAACGGCCCACCAAGGCGACGAUCGGUAGCCGGACUGAGAGGUUGACCGACCACAUUGGGACUGGGACACGGCCCAGACUCCUACGGGAGGCAGCAGUGGGGAAUAUUGCACAAUGGGGGAAAGCCUGAUGCAGCGACGCCGCGUGGAGGAAGAAGGUCUUCGGAUUGUAAACUCCUGUUGUAGGGGAAGAUAGUGACGGUACCCAACAAGGAAGUGACGGCUAACUACGUG
This 466-nucleotide ribosomal RNA is filed under the name uncultured bacterium. RNAcentral describes it as "partial 16S ribosomal RNA". It matches the Rfam family "Bacterial small subunit ribosomal RNA", at positions 28 to 507 of the family's 1533-position model. The record is from RNAcentral.